Molecule: ribosomal RNA, 460 nt
Filed under: uncultured bacterium
Lineage: Bacteria
Description: partial 16S ribosomal RNA
Rfam family: Bacterial small subunit ribosomal RNA
Source: RNAcentral
CCUACGGGGGGCAGCAGUGAGGAAUAUUGGUCAAUGGACGAGAGUCUGAACCAGCCAAGUAGCGUGAAGGAUGACUGCCCUAUGGGUUGUAAACUUCUUUUAUAUGGGAAUAAAACGUUCCACGUGUGGGAUUUUGUAUGUACCAUAUGAAUAAGGAUCGGCUAACUCCGUGCCAGCAGCCGCGGUAAUACGGAGGAUCCGAGCGUUAUCCGGAUUUAUUGGGUUUAGGGGGAGCGUAGGUGGAUUGUUAAGUCAGUUGUGAAAGUUUGCGGCUCAACCGUAAAAUUGCAGUUGAAACUGGCAGUCUUGAGUACAGUAGAGGUGGGCGGAAUUCGUGGUGUAGCGGUGAAAUGCUUAGAUAUCACGAAGAACUCCGAUUGCGAAGGCAGUUCACUGGACUGCAACUGACACUGAGGCUCGAAAGUGUGGGUAUCAAACAGGAUUAGAUACCCCUGUAGUC